GUUAACUGUGAUGAGUCUUUAACAGACCUGUAAUGAAUUGCGGGUAUGAUCGCAUUUUUAUUGAACAUCUAAGGGACUGAGUUAAC
Medicago truncatula (barrel medic) is the source of this 86-nucleotide small nucleolar RNA. It matches the Rfam family "Small nucleolar RNA SNORD25". From Rfam's summary of the family: U25 is a member of the C/D class of snoRNA which contain the C (UGAUGA) and D (CUGA) box motifs. U25 is found in gene clusters in plants, and within the U22 snoRNA host gene (UHG) in mammals. U25 is thought to as a 2'-O-ribose methylation guide for ribosomal RNA. NCBI's taxonomy places the organism in Eukaryota, Viridiplantae, Streptophyta, Magnoliopsida, Fabales, Fabaceae. The record is from Rfam.